This 393-nucleotide ribosomal RNA is filed under the name uncultured bacterium. RNAcentral's name for it is "partial 16S ribosomal RNA". It matches the Rfam family "Bacterial small subunit ribosomal RNA", at positions 523 to 918 of the family's 1533-position model. The record is from RNAcentral.
AUACGGAGGAUGCGAGCGUUAUCCGGAUUUAUUGGGUUUAAAGGGAGCGUAGGUGGAUUGUUAAGUCAGUUGUGAAAGUUUGCGGCUCAACCGUAAAAUUGCAGUUGAAACUGGCAGUCUUGAGUACAGUAGAGGUGGGCGGAAUUCGUGGUGUAGCGGUGAAAUGCUUAGAUAUCAGGAAGAACUCCGAUUGCGAAGGCAGCUCACUAGACUGUUACUGACACUGAUGCUCGAAAGUGUGGGUAUCAAACAGGAUUAGAUACCCUGGUAGUCCACACAGUAAACGAUGAAUACUCGCUGUUUGCGAUAUACAGUAAGCGGCCAAGCGAAAGCAUUAAGUAUUCCACCUGGGGAGUACGCCGGCAACGGUGAAACUCAAAUGAAUUGACGGGG